Molecule: long non-coding RNA, 2080 nt
Organism: Hibiscus syriacus
Lineage: Eukaryota; Viridiplantae; Streptophyta; Magnoliopsida; Malvales; Malvaceae
Exons: 5
Source: RefSeq, a predicted model, not a curated record
UUCCUCACAGAACGGCGCCCCUCUUCUCCCCAAACUCUUUAUUGCUCUCGAUUGAAACCCUCACCGCACCCCGAUGGUUGCUCCUGCUCCGACCGUCACAGGACUCGACUGCUAUGGAACCGACUCGGCCAACCUAAUGCUCCUAAGGUCCAGACGCUGAUAGCCCCCACUCUCGACGCACUGCAAGGUUGAUAAAAAUGGUUUUGACGGUGGCAUGAUUGGCGUGCGACGUUGGCUGCUGGAACUGGAACUGGAACGAGGUACAAGACGGAUGGGACGAGUUAUAUAGUAAAUAAUUUUGGGACGGGUGGGAUCGGAUUUAAGUGGAAUUCAGCUUGAUUACUUGAGUUCAUAUCAUUAAGGAACUAAGUUCAUAACUUUUGGUGCUUUCAUUGAGAGACUGAGCUAUGGUGAACGAUACGGAGGUCAUUAAAAGUCUGCAGGAAACUGUCGCUCCCUAGGAACAGCUAAUGCGCUCUCUUCAAGCUCAUGCCGAGGAACAAAAACAAGUAACGAAAAGAUCCAACGAGCUCAUAAAGAUGUGGAACGUCAAUUGGCGAUCAUAUUAUCGCAGUUGGGACUGACGUUCAAGGCACAACCUGAAAUUGAUGGAUUGGAAAAAGUUGUGUCUAAGCAAGACCACUCAAGCACAAUGAUAAUCCAUAUGUUUGAUGAAUUGCCAACACCAAAAAACUCUGAAAUUGGCGAUCAAUUGCUUCAGAGUAGUAAAGGAGCUGAUUUCCAGUGCACUAAUGGAGGCAACUCAAGCACAGUAGUUACCCAUGUGUUCGAUGAAUUGAGAUGGAGGCAUUGUAGAGGAACAAUUGGAUCAAGACACUAGGGUGUAUCAACUAUGGUUAACUACAUUGUCAAUGCUGAUCUUUGAUGGUGAUAAUUUCGAUGGUUCGUACAAACUGAAAUGUUCUCGAUUUUUGAGGAUGACAUGAACAAACUGCUCACAAAGUUAGAGUAGCGUCUUAAAGAAAAAGGGGGUUCUUAAAACUGACAAGCUAAGUUGGGUAAAUUACUUGACGAUGAUGAGGAAUCAUGUUGCUCCAAAAGAUUAUGGGACUGAAAAGGAUGUCGAAGAAAUUAUACAAAAGAUACUUGCACCAUGAAGGACCAAAAAUUUGGUGUUAUUGAACUGAUCAGUUUGUCUUGGAUGAAAAUUCUUAUGCUACUUUCAACUCGAGAUUGAAAGAUAAUUGCAGAGAAUAAUGAAAAAGAGAUUGAAACUGUGGAGUUGCCGAGACAAAAGCGGAGUUCUUGAACAAGGCAGUGAAAUCGAUUAUAGUAGGCGGAUCAAAGUGGCGUGUUGCAAAGGCAAGUUAGGUUUUUGUUGAGUUGGCCAAUGCUAGCCGGUAUGUCAGGGCGGCUAUUCCAUCUGCUAAAGGGCUUGUUCCCGAGCAACAUCCUCAUUUCAUUUGGUACAUAUUGGAGCGCUAUGAGUAUCAUCGUUUAUGGUGAGAUAGUUGAAUCUACUGAUGUUUACUUAUUCGUUGGAUCUAUUUACAACGAUUAUAGCUCUAUUAGAUACUUUCUGCUUCUGAAGAAGUAGAUGGCAAUUAUUGUGCAGCCUAAGUGGGUAGUGAUUGGUAAUGAGCCUGCAUUUGGAUGUGUUUUGAAGAAAGAUUUCCUUAGAGGCUUGCUAAGUGAUUGAGCACAUUGAUUCCGCUUAUAAGAAUUAUCAUAGGAUUUUUGUCCUAGAGGGACAUCCUCUGAAAGCAGCAGCUAAAGAGCCUCUGAGGAUCAAUGAUUUGUUUCAACAUAUAGAAAAGAUGCUUUCUAGUGAAUCUGUCGUCAUUGCUGAAACUGGGGAUUCUUGGUUAAAUUGCCAGGGGCUGAAGUUGCCUACAGGGUGUGAGUAUGAAUUCCAGAUGCACUAUGGAUCAAUUGGGUGGUCCGUCUGUACCACUCUUGUAUAUGCACGUCAUUCUAGAGAAACAUGUCAUUACUUGCUUUGGUGAUGGUAGUUUCCAGGUGAUCGGACAAGAUGUGUAAAGAGAUGGGCACAGGUCGGAUCGGGUUUUCGAUCCACCCGACCGGACUAAAAAAUUUUAAAUUCUUCACCUGACUCGAA